AGUGAACGCUGGCGGCAGGCCUAACACAUGCAAGUCGAACGGUAACACGAUAAGGCUUUCUUCUUUGCUGACGCGUGGCGGAGGGGUGAGUGGUGUCUGGGGGACUGCCUGUUGGCGGGGGGGAACUCCUGGAAACGGUUACUAUUACAGCAUAACGUCGCAACACCAGAAAGGGGGACAUUCGCGCCUCUUGCCCUCUUAUGUGCCCCGAUGUCGGAUUAGCUAGUAGGCGGGGUAACGGCACACCAAGGCGACGAUCCCUAGCUGGUCUGAGAGGAUGACCAGCCACACUGGAACUGAGACACGGUCCAGACUCCUACGGGAGGCAGCAGUGGGGAAUAUUGCACAAUGGGCGCAAGCCUGAUGCAGCCAUGCCGCGUGGAUGAAGAAGGCCUUCGGGUUGUAAAGUACUUUCAGCGGGGAGGAAGGGAGGAAAGUUAAUACCUUGGCUCAUUGACGGUACCCGAAGAAGAAGCACCGGCUAACUCCAUG
Molecule: ribosomal RNA, 492 nt
Filed under: uncultured bacterium
Lineage: Bacteria
Description: partial 16S ribosomal RNA
Rfam family: Bacterial small subunit ribosomal RNA
Source: RNAcentral